Sus scrofa (pig) is the source of this 8853-nucleotide non-coding RNA. NCBI's taxonomy places the organism in Eukaryota, Metazoa, Chordata, Mammalia, Artiodactyla, Suidae. The record is from RefSeq and is a predicted model, not a curated record.
GACGCGCCCGGCGGCAGCGGCGGCGGCGGCGGCAGCAGCCGCGGCGUCUUUAGCGGCGCCCAGUGCAGGAUGGUGCUGGAGGCGGCGGCGGCGGCCGUGGUGGCGGCGGCUUCGUUGGCGGCAGCGGGAGGGGGUGCUGUGGCGGCAGCGGCGGCGGCGCCCGCGGGUGGUAUAAAAUGGCGGAUUUCGAGGAGUUGAGGGAUCUCCAGUACAAUGUUGAAUAGAAGCGGUGAUGGGGGCAUCCUGAUCUUGUUCCUGAUUUUAAAGGGAAUGCUUUCAGAGUUUCACAAAUAUGGUUUCUAGUUUUAGGGUUUCUGAACUACAAGUGUUACUAGGCUUUGCUGGACGGAAUAAAAGUGGACGCAAGCAUGACCUCCUGAUGAGGGCGCUGCAUUUAUUGAAGAGCGGCUGCAGCCCUGCGGUUCAGAUUAAAAUCCGAGAACUGUAUAGACGCCGAUACCCACGGACUCUUGAAGGCCUUUCUGAUUUAUCCACAAUCAAAUCAUCGGUCUUCAGUUUGGAUGGUAGCUCAUCGCCUGUAGAACCUGACUUGGCUGUGGCUGGAAUCCACUCGUUGCCUUCCACUUCAGUUACACCUCACUCACCGCCCUCUCCUGUUGGUUCAGUGCUGCUUCAAGAUACUAAACCCACCUUUGAGAUGCAGCAGCCAUCUCCCCCAAUUCCUCCUGUCCAUCCUGACGUGCAGUUAAAAAACUUGCCCUUUUAUGAUGUCCUUGAUGUUCUUAUCAAGCCCACAAGUUUAGUUCAAAGCAGUAUUCAGCGAUUUCAAGAGAAGUUUUUUAUUUUUGCUCUGACACCUCAACAAGUUAGAGAGAUAUGCAUAUCCAGGGAUUUUUUGCCAGGUGGUAGGAGAGAUUAUACAGUUCAAGUUCAGCUGAGACUUUGCCUGGCAGAGACAAGUUGCCCUCAAGAAGAUAACUAUCCUAAUAGUCUCUGCAUAAAAGUAAAUGGGAAGCUGUUUCCUUUGCCUGGCUAUGCACCACCACCCAAAAAUGGGAUUGAACAGAAGCGCCCUGGACGCCCUUUGAAUAUUACAUCUUUAGUUAGGUUGUCUUCAGCUGUGCCAAACCAGAUUUCCAUUUCUUGGGCAUCAGAAAUUGGAAAGAAUUACUCCAUGUCUGUAUAUCUUGUACGACAGCUCACAUCAGCCAUGUUAUUGCAGAGAUUAAAAAUGAAAGGUAUUAGAAACCCUGAUCAUUCCAGAGCACUAAUUAAAGAGAAACUUACUGCGGAUCCUGAUAGUGAAAUUGCUACUACUAGCCUUCGCGUGUCCUUGAUGUGCCCUUUAGGGAAAAUGAGGCUGACAAUCCCAUGCCGUGCAGUGACUUGUACACACCUACAGUGUUUUGAUGCUGCCCUUUAUCUGCAAAUGAAUGAGAAGAAGCCCACCUGGAUUUGUCCUGUUUGUGACAAAAAAGCUGCCUAUGAAAGUCUAAUUUUAGAUGGGCUUUUUAUGGAAAUUCUCAAUGACUGUUCUGAUGUGGAUGAGAUCAAAUUCCAAGAAGAUGGUUCUUGGUGUCCAAUGAGACCGAAGAAGGAAGCUAUGAAAGUAUCCAGCCAACCGUGUACAAAAAUAGAAACUUCAAGUGUCCUCAGCAAACCUUGUUCAGUGACUGUAGCCAAUGAGGCAAGCAAGAAGAAAGUGGAUGUUAUUGACCUUACAGUAGAAAGCUCUUCUGAUGAAGAGGAAGACCCUCCUGCCAAAAGGAAAUGCAUCUUUAUGUCAGAAACACAAAGCAGCCCAACCAAAGGGGUUCUCAUGUAUCAGCCAUCUUCUGUAAGGGUGCCCAGUGUGACUUCGGUUGAUCCUGCUGCUAUUCCGCCUUCAUUAACAGACUACUCAGUACCAUUCCACCACACGCCAAUAUCAAGCAUGUCAUCAGAUUUGCCAGGAGGACGAAGAAGAAAUGAUAUUAAUAAUGAACUGCAGCUCGGAUCAUCUUCUGAUACUGUUCAACAGUGAAUGCAAAAUAAAACAGAUAAUUUGUAUUUAUGGAAUGGAAAACAGCUUGAUUAUUUCACGAAAAAAAUAUGACUGCCUUAUUAUUGCUCGUGCCGUAUUGUCAGGUGCGAGUGGUGCUCAAAAGUUGUGUCAUUAAAAUUUCAAAGUGCGAAACAUUUACAUAUUUAAUCAUGUAGCGCUUAUGUUUUGUUAAAGUUGAUGGCUCAAGUAAGGAAAAUGUGUUGUUAUUCAUUAAUAAGACAUAAAGUCAGUUUCACAUGAAGUAUUUAAAAUCUAAAAACUACAAUUUUAUCAAUAUUUAUAAACCACAUUUAGAAUAUGUCAUCAGAAUUUUUAACACUACUUGCUUUUCAGUUAAAGAUAAUUGGGAAUUUCAACCAUGACAUCCUUAGGAGGGCCUAAAAAUAUGUCAAUACAACAUAUCGUUGCUUUUGAAACUUACAGUGACUUGAGAAAAAAAGCAUUCUACCAAACUUGCAAAAUAAGACAGUGACAUUUAAUCACCAUUCAUGAAACUUCCAUCUAUCUCAUGUAUGAGUUUUAAUAGCUUAUACUUAGAAAGUAGAAUCAUAAGAUGUUGAUAAUAGUUUUUUUAAUAGAAGGAAUAACACCUGAAAUUCUCUAUCAAACUUCAUUGUUACUAUUUGAGAAGAAAUGGUUUCAGUAAGAAAUAUAUACAUUACAACAUUACUGAAUUUUGUGUGGACAUCUCUGUAAUGCUCAGGAGACAGUAGGUUUCAACCAAAACUUUGGGAAAAUUUAUAGGUAUUUUAUUAUGGCAGUGUGUAAGUCACCGUAUUCAUUUAUCCCUGGAUGAGGUGUCAAAAGGUAUAGAUCAAGUAAAUUUCUCAAAAUAUGUUAGCAAUAGAGUGUGUAACUACUAGCACAUGUGAAAUAAUGAUCAGAAUUACAGUACAACUGAAGAGCUGGGAGUUGAAAGAAUGAAAAUAUGGAGAAACUUGGCACCUCGAUAGACAGCUUCCAGUGCUAGAACUGCAGAAACAGUUUGAAAAUUAUAUCAAGCCUGUGUAUUUAUUUAAAUUGAAGUUAUUAAAUGGGAAUAGACAUUUAGGAAAUGAGCGGUUGGGGAGUUCCCGUUGUUGCACAGCAGAAACAAAUCCAACUAGGAACCAUGAGGUUGCUGGUUCAAUCCCUGGUCUUGCUCAGUGUGCCAAGGAUCUGGCAUUGCCGUGAGCUGUGGUGUAGGUCGCAGAUGCAGCUUGGAUCCUACGUUGCUGUGGCUGUGGCGUAGGCUGGCAGCUGUAGCUCCGAUUGGACCCCUAGCCCAGGGAAAUACAGCAAAAUUGGCUUUAGAGGUUUGACAAACAUUAAAAGUGAGUGUAUAAAAUUAAGUGAACUAUUAAAAACAAGAUAUUAUAUAAAGAAAAAUGUACCUUUUGAGGCAAAAUUAAUAAAAUUAAUAAAAUUAAGCCAAUGAAUUAAAUGACAUGACAGUAAAUUAUUUUUGUGACUUAGUCAAUAGAAAUAUUGAAUAAUUUAUAAAGCUCUGAGAAGAUACUAUAAGGAUUAGACAAAUUUUGAAUUACUGUUCAGCUGAAACAGGAUUUAUCAGACAGUAUCAUUAAUGUGAAGAAAAAUUCUGCUUAUUGAGAUGUCACCUAAUUACUAUCAAUUCAAUGGGGAAUUCCUUGGAAAACGUGGUUGUGUUUUUCUUUGUCCAGUGUGUUGGCUCAGACCUCGCUGUAUCAUACAGCCUAGUGACAGGCAUGUGAAUUGAAAAGUCAUACCAGCAAUUUUCAAUAAUGCUUUAGAAAUUUAAUGAUUUCUUUCAGAUGAUUGGUGCUAUAGCUUGUAUUACUCGCUGUGUACUUCUAUUAUACCCUUAGCGAUUAUAAGGGAAUAAAUAUACUUUAAUAUUUUGAUUUAUAAAUUAUUCAUACUCAUUAUUAAAAAUUUUAAUUAUCAUUUCCCACUAAUAGUCUCUAUUUAGAGUAACAGUCUACACUCUGCAUGAUUGUUAUAUUUGAGGUGACAUGAGGACCAGCAUAUAAAAAUUCAUGGAAUGAAUAGAAAUUGGCCUGUCUUCAUAACCUAUACCUAGUAUGUGAUUUUUAUUUUUUUGAUGUUUUGAAAUUUAUUCAUACAGGUCUUAGGGACCUGACCUAGAAGUUUAUUGCUAGACUUUACAGAACUGAAGGUUUUUAUUUUUUAAUUUUUUGUCUUUUUUGGGCUGUACCUGCAGUGUAUGGAAGUUCCCAGGCUAGGGGUCGAAUAGGAGCUGUAGCUGCCAGCCUAUGUCACAGCGAUGCCAGAUCCAAGCCUUGUCUGUGACCUACACUGCAGCUCACAUCCAUGCCAGAUCCUUAACCCCCUUAGCAGAGCCACAGAUCAAACACGCAUCCUUGUGGAUACUAGUCGGGUUCAUUACCACUGAACCACAAUGGGAACUCCCAAGUUCUUUAUUUUUUAUUGUUACAACUUUUAAUAUUUCAAAAUGGUAUUACUGAACAAACAUUCCUGUUUCUGAAGCGUAAUUGGAGAAUCCCAGAUCUUUGGUUCAGAAAACUGCAUUAACUCAUAACCCAGUAAACCUUGGUAAGAUUCAGCUUGUGAGUAGCAGUUAUUAAAUGCUUGCUUUGUGCAGAGCAUUGAACUGUGUACUACUCUUGUUGUGGGGACAGGAGGAUAGAGAGCUGUCCGUGAAAUAGACAUCUGUCUGUCUAAGAAGUGGUGUGUUAGAUAAAGCUCAAUGUGGUGUAUUUCUAAAAAAAUAAAUGUGAAGUAUCUUAAGAGUCUAUGUGUUUUUUAGUGAUCUGAAUCCAGAUCAUGAUCUCUUCAAUUUAUUGUUUCUCAUUCUGCUAAGUGAUGAGAGGGGGACAUUUGUUUUGACUAGUCCUAUGUAUCUGAAAAAUUUUGAACUGCUCCCUUUAAGUCUCUGGGAGGUGGUUUUUCCAGUUGCUUUGUCAGGAAAUAUGUUCAUCUUGAGGUUUUAUGCACAUUAAGCAUCCUCAAACGUCCUGUUCGUGGUAUAGACCUUCCAUACAGCAGAAUGGUAAGACCUUAACCCAGAUGUUUUAUGACUUAACGAUAAAUAAAAAGUGAUUUUGGGAAAUAAUUCUUGUCUCCAGAAUAUGAGACAACUAUUAACAGAACAUUUUUGUUUUAGGUUUGGAUUUUCUUUCCCUUAUUCCAGUUGAUCCCCAGUACUGUCCUCCUAUGUUUUUGGAUAGUCUCACCUCACCCUUAACCGCAAGCAGUACGUCUGUCACCACCACCAGCCCCCAUGAAAGCACUACUCAUGUUAGUUCAUCCAGCAGCAGAAGUGAGACAGGGGUCAUAACCAGCAGUGGAAGUAACAUUCCCGACAUCAUCUCAUUGGACUAAAAGGAGGACUCACUCGAUUCUAGGAAUCAUUCGUCAAAGCUGCUUUCUUGGAUCCCUGAUCCGCGGAAGCUAUUUUUUGGUAACAGUUACUUUGAUAUUUAUUGAAACGUCAAAUGGAUUCUUUUGCCUUUCGAGAGAUGAACACAGAUGACUGCAGCAAGAACCACAUGACACGCAAGGAUUUUUCUUAUCCCUGCUGUACUCUGAGCAUCAGACACAUCCAGCCAUAACUGUAUCUUCUUGAGAGAUGGAUUUCAAUUUCAUACGUUACUGGAUGGAUUCUACAAAUCAGUUAAUUUUUUUGUUGUAAUAAACAGCAAUAAAAUUAUGUAAAUAUUCAAGUAAACGUUUUUCUAAUUAAAAAGAAUGUAAUCAGUGGUUCUAAAAUGACAGCAAUCUUUGUUAAACCUGAUGUGAAGGAAAAAAUAUAUGGAAAGACAUUAAUGUUUGCCGAAUGAGUCCGUUCCAUGGAGAUUUGUUCUCUUUCGUUGAAGUAAUGAAGUCUUGAUAAGUGGCCAAAGCUUGGGUUCGUUCCACUUUUCUUCCUGCAGUUCCACUUUCCUUCCUGAUUCCAUCCAAGAAAAAUGGCCCUUGUGUUACACAUUUUUCCCCGUGUCAUUUACAUUUGAUGCUGUGUGCUAAUGAAUGCAGAGUGAGGUUCUGGGAUUUGGUUGUGCUUUGUUAAGUGAUUGUACUGAAGAACACUAUCACCGACUGCCCUGACAUAAUGUGUGUUAUUUUUGGUAAUUGUACAUUUCUCAUUUUGGAGAUUUCUAUGAAUUGGGCUUACCUUCUCAUAAAAGAAAGUCUCUGCAGCUGUUGAAUGAAAUUUUUUGGAGUGAGGUGUGGCUGGAAUGUUUGUUAGAAUUUUGUUCAUGCUGUCCAGAAAUACUGAGAGCUUGGUGGCAGUGCUUCGAAGAACAGAUUUAGGAGCAGUGGGAAUAACAAAGUCUAAUUUCUUCCUGAAGACUUCUUUUGCUCCUUUAUGUUAUAGAAAAAUGUACAAAUCUUCCUUGCAACUUUCCCGUUUAGUAACACUGACAAAGGAAAGAUGUGUUAGAUCUUAUAUUUCUCAUAAUAGUGGUUUUCAGACUUAACAAACAAUACCAAAGGGAAGGGGGUGGCAUCAAAUUUCCUUUUCCUUUUUUAAAAAGAAUUUUUUCCUAAAACUGAGAAGGACAAAACAAUUAGAAAUGUUUGAAUGUAAGAAAGGAUGGGAGAGGAUGGGCCUGAAACCCACUUUGAAGACUGCUCUCUUGAGUAUUUGAUUUUAAAUCUCAUAGGAAACUUGAGUUUUACCCUUAGAGGAACAUUUUUAUCCAAAUGUUAAUAUUUUCCUUUGCUUCAUUUGGCCGCAGAAUAAUUUCUGAGUUCUUAAGGAGUUAAUAGUUCCCUAAUGUUUAGCUUUCUCUACCCGAACUAUAUCUACUUUAAAAAUCAGUCGUUUUUUAAAAUGGGUUAAUCUGAUUUCUCCAACGAAAGUGGCCAGAUGAAGAGCCUCCCAAUUUCAGUUAGGAAAGGGAAUGCAUUACUUCAGGGUUUGUGCAACUCCAGGGAGCUGACUUGUCACUGGUUUUCUACACCUUCUCAGUUUUUCAUGGCCUCUGUGCUAUUUUGUACCGACUCAUUUCAUAUGAUUUUCUACGUCAUCCCUUUGGCUGAAUCUUCCCCUUAAUGUAUUAUCCCUUUUGGAGAGCUGCUUAUUAAAAACAUGGAAGACAAACCUGAAUCUUCUUGCCAAUAGUUGCAUCAUAGUUGCCAGUUGUACCUUCUUAGUCUACUUUAUAGUCCUUUGGUCCAGAUGCAGAAUUUCUUCCUAGUAAAAUUUGAUGUUGCUGCUCUCAAUAAGGAUGCAAGUUCUGUUAACUCUAAUAGAAAAAGUAACCUGAUUUAUGUGGUAUAAUUUGUUAAUAAAGAAAUGCUGUAUAUUUGUUACCAUUUUGUUACCCUUUAGAUUCUCAAAGCCCCUCCCCCCCAUUUAACCAACAAAGUUUUAUAAAGUAAAUGAACAAAUUAAUAGAAAUUAGUUUAUUUACUUGGUUCUGGUAACUCAUACCUCUGUGCUUUUAUAGUUGUGCUUUGCUUCCUUUUCACUAUUUUAUGUGAACAGUUUUAUUGUUCAUUUUUGGUGCUUUACAUACAUUUCACAUAAAUUUUUAAUUUAUCUCAUACAGGCGACUAACAUUUUAAAAAAUAUACUUUUAAGUUUAUAAUCUUAAAAUUGGGACUUUUGUGUAUCUUUGAAGGUGAGUAAUUUUCUUUAUGCUUUUGGCGCUAUGGGAAUAGCGUGCUUUUUAAGCCAUUGUCCUUUUUUUAGUAUGGUCACUAAAUAUUUUUACUAAGACCCUGACUUUGUAGCAGUUUCUUUUACAGCCGAGAUAUCUGCCCAACCAAGUAUAAUUCAGUUUCAGAGGAGGUUAUCUAUAGCUGUUACUUAGAUGUCAGCCCACGAGUGACAUCUUUAACAAUGACUGACAACGUUUAAGGAAAAGAAACCGUAGCUACUAGUCUCCUACGAACACUUACCGUGUAUUUUCAUUGUGAUUCACAUAGAAAUGUUAAGAGAUUUCCUUGCUUUGGUAACUCCUGACAAUGUAACUGGUGCUGAGUGUAGCUUCACGCUUAAGGUCUGCUGACAUUCACUAACUUUCUGACUCUUAAGUGAGCCUCUGUAGGAUUUUGUUUCCAUUUCUGCCCAGAAGGUAUAAAUACUAGGCAUCUGUCAUAGGGUAAUUAUACAGGCCACAUGAAACAGUAGAGGUAAAUUUAGGUUAUAUGACAUUUACUUGAUGAUGUAUUUCAGGAAAGCCAGAAUGAAAACACCAUGAUUAGGUGAACGAUUGUGAGUGUAAAUGAAGAGAUCUGUAACUCUUGGUACAAAGUUUCCCUAGGGUAGACUCUUAAGGAAUUGGAAGAAAGGUAAGAUGUUGAAUUUUAGAUGAAUAAUAUUCAACAGAGACCAUUCUGACUUUGAAUUCAGACCCGUCCUGGACAUCCAUCAUUUAGUAACCAAGUCUGCUUGUCUUCUGCUCAAAAAGUAUUUAUUAGAUACAUUUUGCCUUUUCAAGUAAAGUUGAUUUUUACAAAGCAUUAGUCUUCAGGUCUGUUUUUCAUUUCUCUCUAGCCCCACAAUGCGUAAAAAAAACAAGAGUGUCAUUUUUUUUUUUUCUGAUAAAACAGUUUUAUUUUCCUAAUCUUUUUCACCUUGGAAAAUGUAGAACCGUGCGCCAUUUUGAUUUAGGUCUGGUGAGGUGUUUUGUGACUCUAGAUCCAUGGGAGCAUGGAUGAAGUUGUUUAGAUUGUGAUUAUUGACUGAACCUGAUUCACCAUCUUUUCCUGCUACAGUUCUUCACGAAUAUGGUGAAACUUGUAGAAACAAAUUUAAUAAUUUCUCUGCUUUUUAAAGAGUCUGAUGCUCCUGUCAAAUGAAUGACUGUUUGUACGCCCCCACUUUUUUGUCAUUGUUGUUAGGAACCACGCUCCAGUUCCUAGCAGAAACAAAUAAAGCUGUACAAAAACGCCCA